RNAcentral lists this long non-coding RNA (242 nucleotides) under Homo sapiens (human). RNAcentral's name for it is "HSALNT0351307". Lineage: Eukaryota; Metazoa; Chordata; Mammalia; Primates; Hominidae. The record is from RNAcentral.
AUGAGAUUUUGGACUGUGGACUUUUGAGUUAAUGCCGAAAUACCGUGCUGCUUUGGACAACUCAACCUGCCCUGGACAGUGUGGGGGCCCAGACUCUAGUUGAUUCAUUUUUGCCUUUGCCAUGGCACCAAGCACAGAACCUUUCACAAAAUAGGUUGCUGAGCAAGGAAAGAAAUCCGUCUCCCUCCAUCGGUGGAUGAUGGGUUGAUAGAAGAUGAACUGGACUGUACUGUCAGCGGAGC